UAAAUAGUUUACACCAGCUGACUAACUUGUCAACUAACUCUUGAAUCGCUGUUUAAAAGUAAAUUCACAGCUCUCAGGAAACGCUCUCUCAAAGUUAUGAACAAACAGGAAUGUUAACAGAACGUUCUUUCAAAGCUAACACGAAAACUGUAUUAUUUAUACACCGUUCAUGGAAUGUUUUGUUUCUGAAACAAUCUAACGUUUUUUUACAUGUUGCUACUUGUUUCAGAACUUUCAAAAGUAACAUUGUUUGCAGAAUGAUGUAAUGCAAUGUUCCAUUAACAUUCGUAUGUAACCAAGAAAGUUACAAAUGUAGGUGAUAAAAACACCGCGGGAAACUUUGUUUUGAAAUGUUUCUAGAAAAUUUCUUUUAUGAUUAUAAUGAUAUUUAAAGCAGUCAUAACUCACACAGUUUGUGCCAAUCUCAUGUGAAUCUAAUGAGUGUGUGGUUUAUCAGAUUUAUAGAAGACAGACAGCUUUAGCUUCUCUCUGGUUGAUGUGUUUGCUCAGAAGCGCCUGUACAAGGAUCCCCGCCCUUUAUGACGUCAGACAGGAGCAUACCCCAAACAAAGCUUACACAAACCCUGAAAAAAAGUUGCAAGACAUUCUGCGAGCUUUACUUUAAGACUGUUUAUCCCUGCCGUGUGUGUAAGGUUAGUGUGGGACUGAUGAGCAAACUCUCGAGCAGAUGUAACGCAGACGCCAGCCCUGUGCUGUGACGUCACGUCGAGUCCGAAUUGAGAGGCUCUGGUAACGAGGCGCUCUCGGUCUCGGUGUUGAUUGGUCAGCUGUUCUGAGAGCCUCCACCCCUCCCGCAUCAGCACCAGGUCAGGUCACUAGUUCACUAGUUCCAGCGGCGCUCACUAACUAGUCCGGACAGAGACAUGGGCAGCGCGAGCGCGAGCGGGAGCGGGAGCGGGGGCGCGUGUCCGCGGCACUUUGCGCUCUUCUGCUCGGUAGUUUUUGUGCUCAGCAUCUUCUUCUCGUCUGCUGGGCUCGGCUCUGUUCAGCACUCUGUGUGGAGCACACUGGAGGAAUCAGGAGCAGGAGCAGAUUCAGAACGUCUUCAAGAGGUUUCUCUUUCACUAUUCUAAAGCACACAACUCGGCGGGAUCCGUCGAGAGAGAGUCUCACUCGGUUCAUCCGCUCAUGCGUCUCUCGCCGAAGCUCUCUCUGCGCAGGAAGAAGCAGCAGAGAAGCUGAAGAGAGUUUGCGGCGUGUCUGGACGACGUAUUCGAGACGUCUUCUGUCCGUAUCUGGGAUCCUCUGCGGCUCCGUAACGCCUCAGACGUGUUAAAGCUGCACUAGUGCUGCAGAUGUUUAAUAAACGUAACCUCAAGCUUGCUGAUGGUUGAUGU
Cyprinus carpio (common carp) is the source of this 1358-nucleotide long non-coding RNA. Lineage: Eukaryota; Metazoa; Chordata; Actinopteri; Cypriniformes; Cyprinidae. The record is from Ensembl.